CCCUGGCUCAGAGUGAACGCUGGCGGCAGGCCUAACACAUGCAAGUCGAGCGGCAGCGCGGAUGUAGCAAUACAUCUGGCGGCGAGCGGCGGACGGGUGAGGAAUGCGUCGGAAUCUGCCUCUUUGUGGGGGAUAACGUAGGGAAACUUACGCUAAUACCGCAUACGACCUACGGGUGAAAGUGGGGGACCUUCGGGCCUCACGCAGAGAGAUGAGCCGACGCCGGAUUAGCUAGUUGGCGGGGUAAAGGCCCACCAAGGCGACGAUCCGUAGCUGGUCUGAGAGGAUGAUCAGCCACACUGGAACUGAGACACGGUCCAGACUCCUACGGGAGGCAGCAGUGGGGAAUAUUGGACAAUGGGCGCAAGCCUGAUCCAGCCAUGCCGCGUGUGUGAAGAAGGCCUUCGGGUUGUAAAGCACUUUUGUCCGGAAAGAAAAGCAUUCGGUUAAUAACCGGGUGUCCUGACGGUACCGGAAGAAUAAGCACCGGCUAAUUU
Molecule: ribosomal RNA, 497 nt
Filed under: Lysobacter sp. CL7.40
Lineage: Bacteria; Pseudomonadati; Pseudomonadota; Gammaproteobacteria; Lysobacterales; Lysobacteraceae
Description: bacterial SSU rRNA
Rfam family: Bacterial small subunit ribosomal RNA
Source: RNAcentral